UCCAAACUUGAAAACAAGGACCAACAUAAAAUAUACUAGAAGCAAAGCAGAAAGCCCAUCUAAAAGCAGUUUCUCAAAGGAAUAAAUAAAUGGAGUUAUUAAAAUUUUUCUUUUUUCAUCACAAAGACAGUGCUUUAUCUGUGAUAACUCAAAACUCCAGGAACAAAAAAUUAUGAGGGGCAUCCAGCAGUUAUUGGCAAGUGGUGGGCUACUGGAAAGAAAUAGAUAGAAGCUACAAACCCAAAUUACCUAAAGUGGAUGGGACCUUGGAAAUUUGGCAUCUCAAGUAUUGCUCUAUGUUAAAAUGUCUAUAGUGGACAAAUGAAGAUGGCACCAAUUUACUCAGACCAUGCUUACAUCAGUACUGUCAUAAGCUUACAUCUUAGGAUUAUGCUUUAUCUAUUAGAACAUGUUGUUCAUUGGAACCUAUAUAAAUUUUGAAAUACCAUCCUUCUUUUCCAGAACAAAAAAUAAAGCAUACUCAAAGUUGUUAGCUAUUUUCAUUUUUUUUAGUAGAUAACAUUCUGUCGGUGAAGGUUCUUUACUUGUAGAAAACAACAAAUUAAAUGCACACAAAUUGAGGAUUCACCCAAAAUUCAAGAAUUAUGAACAUAGAAAUCCUAUAGGUGUUGACAAAACAACAAAAUCAAUGUGCUAAUGAAUUGUAAGUUGAACAAGCAUCAAAAUAUAGCCAAAAGUGCCUCAUCCAAGAACAGUGUGCCUAACAUUUUCGCAAUUUAAUCUUUAUAGUAGAUACAACACAUAAAUAAAAUGCAAAACAUUACAUAGGCAUUCAAUCAAGCAUGUGGUGUGCAAUGCUGAAGAAGCCCUUCAUGGACAUACAAACUGAGACCAAGAGAUUCAGGCAAACAACACUUGAUUUGAUUUUCAUUUUUAGCAUUCAGCAACAAUCGUUACAAAUCAGUAACAACAGCAAGAAAAUUUCAACAAAAGCUUCAGGAAUUAAAAAAAGAGCAACAGCACAAAAUCAAUUAUUUGAUUUUCCAUUAACCCAGUCACAGUUUCACAUUCAAAAAUCAACAAGGUCACAUUCAAAAGCCAACAACAGGG
Molecule: non-coding RNA, 1071 nt
Organism: Arachis ipaensis
Lineage: Eukaryota; Viridiplantae; Streptophyta; Magnoliopsida; Fabales; Fabaceae
Source: RefSeq, a predicted model, not a curated record